RNAcentral lists this ribosomal RNA (279 nucleotides) under uncultured bacterium. RNAcentral's name for it is "partial 16S ribosomal RNA". It matches the Rfam family "Bacterial small subunit ribosomal RNA", at positions 506 to 784 of the family's 1533-position model. The record is from RNAcentral.
UGCCAGCCGCCGCGGUAAUACGUAGGGUGCAAGCGUUGUUCGGAAUCACUGGGCGUAAAGGGCGUGUAGGCGGAACGAUUAGCGAGGGGUGAAAUCCCGGGGCUCAACCCCGGAACUGCUCUUCGAACUGUCGAUCUAGAGAAGGUCAGGGGCCGGCGGAAUUCCUGGUGUAGAGGUGAAAUUCGUAGAGAUCAGGAGGAACAUCGGAGGCGAAGGCGGCCGGCUGGGGCCAUUCUGACGCUGAGGCGCGAAAGCGUGGGGAGCAAACAGGAUUAGAUA